AGAUACCCCUGGUAGUCCGCACGGUAAACGAUGGAUGCCCGCUGUUCGCGAAUAUACAGUGAGCGGCCAAGAGAAAUCGUUAAGCAUCCCACCUGGGGAGUACGCCGGCAACGGUGAAACUCAAAGGAAAUUGACGGGGGCCCGCACAAGCGGAGGAACAUGUGGUUUAAUUCGAUGAUACGCGAGGAACCUUACCCGGGCUUGAACUGCCAGCGAACGAUCCAGAGAUGGUGAGGCCCUUCGGGGCGCUGGUGGAGGUGCUGCAUGGUUGUCGUCAGCUCGUGCCGCGAGGUGUCGGCUUAAGUGCCAUAACGAGCGCAACCCUUUUCCUUAGUUGCCAUCAGGUGAUGCUGGGCACUCUGGGGACACUGCCACCGUAAGGUGUGAGGAAGGUGGGGAUGACGUCAAAUCAGCACGGCCCUUACGUCCGGGGCUACACACGUGGUACAAUGGGGAGUACAGAGAGUCAGGCGCCGGCAACGUCGCCUUAAUCCAAAAAGCUCUCCUCAGUUCGGAUUGGGGUCUGCAACCCGACCCCAUGAAGCUGGAUUC
Molecule: ribosomal RNA, 552 nt
Filed under: uncultured bacterium
Lineage: Bacteria
Description: bacterial SSU rRNA
Rfam family: Bacterial small subunit ribosomal RNA
Source: RNAcentral